CCUACGGGGCGCAGCAGUGGGGAAUAUUGGACAAUGGGCGAAAGCCUGAUCCAGCCAUGCCGCGUGUGUGAAGAAGGCCUUCGGGUUGUAAAGCACUUUCAGUGGGGAAGAAAGCCUUGGGGCUAAUACCCUCGAGGAAGGACAUCACCCACAGAAGAAGCACCGGCUAACUCCGUGCCAGCAGCCGCGGUAAUACGGAGGGUGCGAGCGUUAAUCGGAAUUACUGGGCGUAAAGCGCGCGUAGGCGGUCUGAUAAGCCGGUUGUGAAAGCCCCGGGCUCAACCUGGGAACGGCAUCCGGAACUGUCAGGCUAGAGUGCAGGAGAGGAAGGUAGAAUUCCCGGUGUAGCGGUGAAAUGCGUAGAGAUCGGGAGGAAUACCAGUGGCGAAGGCGGCCUACUGGACUGACACUGACGCUGAGGAGCGAGAGCGUGGGUAGCAAACAGGAUUAGAUACCCCGGUAGUC
RNAcentral lists this ribosomal RNA (465 nucleotides) under Vreelandella stevensii. RNAcentral describes it as "partial 16S ribosomal RNA". It matches the Rfam family "Bacterial small subunit ribosomal RNA", at positions 338 to 795 of the family's 1533-position model. Lineage: Bacteria; Pseudomonadati; Pseudomonadota; Gammaproteobacteria; Oceanospirillales; Halomonadaceae. The record is from RNAcentral.